GUCCGGAUAGCUCAGUGGUCUAGAGCAGUUUCCCGGAAAGGGAAAAACUUGGGUUCGAUUCCCGACCCAGCCA
RNAcentral lists this transfer RNA (73 nucleotides) under Camponotus floridanus (Florida carpenter ant). It matches the Rfam family "tRNA". Rfam says of the family: Transfer RNA (tRNA) molecules are approximately 80 nucleotides in length. Their secondary structure includes four short double-helical elements and three loops (D, anti-codon, and T loops). The record is from Rfam by way of RNAcentral. Lineage: Eukaryota; Metazoa; Arthropoda; Insecta; Hymenoptera; Formicidae.